AGGAUGAACGCUGGCGGCGUGCCUAACACAUGCAAGUCGAACGUCCUGUCUCGCAAGAGGCAGGGAGUGGCGGACGGGUGAGUACCACGUGGGUCAUCUACCGUGAGGUGAGGAAUACCGGCGAGAAAUCGCCGACAAGACCGCAUAGGCUCGAUGCAAGUCGAGCAAAGCUCUUUCGAGAGAGGGAGCGCCACACGAGGAGCCUGCGCCCGAUUAGCUAGCUGGUGGAGUAACGGUUCACCAGGGCGACGAUCGGUAGCUGGUCUGAGAGGACGAUCAGCCACACUGGGAUUGAGAACGGCCCAGACUCCUACGGGGGGCAGCAGUGAGGAAUUUUCGUCAAUGGGGGCAACCCCGUGAACGAGCAACGCCGCGUGCAGGAAGAAGGUUUUCGGAUCGUAAACUGCUUUUCUCGGGGAAGAGAAUGGACGGUACCCGAGGAAUCAGCCCCGGCUAACUACGUGCCAGCAGCCGC
This 475-nucleotide ribosomal RNA is filed under the name uncultured bacterium. RNAcentral describes it as "SSU rRNA". It matches the Rfam family "Bacterial small subunit ribosomal RNA", at positions 26 to 518 of the family's 1533-position model. The record is from RNAcentral.